This 465-nucleotide ribosomal RNA is filed under the name uncultured bacterium. RNAcentral's name for it is "partial 16S ribosomal RNA". It matches the Rfam family "Bacterial small subunit ribosomal RNA", at positions 339 to 795 of the family's 1533-position model. The record is from RNAcentral.
CUACGGGGGGCAGCAGUGGGGAAUAUUGCGCAAUGGGGGAAACCCUGACGCAGUGACGCCGUGUGAGUGAUGAAGGUUUUCGGAUCGUAAAGCUCUGUCAGACGGGAAGAAUAAGAACAGUAAAAAUAUUGCUGUCUGAUGACGGUACCGUCAGAGGAAGCACCGGCUAACUCCGUGCCAGCAGCCGCGGUAAUACGGAGGGUGCAAACGUUGUUCGGAAUUACUGGGCGUAAAGCGCAUGUAGGCGGAUAUGUAGGUCAGAUGUGAAAUCCCUUGGCUCAACCAAGGAAGUGCAUCUGAAACCCCAUAUCUUGAGUACGAGAGAGGGAAGUGGAAUUCCCAGUGUAGAGGUGAAAUUCAUAGAUAUUGGGAAGAACACCGGUGGCGAAGGCGGCUUUCUGGCUCGUAACUGACGCUGAGAUGCGAAAGCGUGGGGAGCAAACAGGAUUAGAUACCCUUGUAGUC